AUUGAACGCUGGCGGCAGACCUAACACAUGCAAGUCGAGCGAGCGGCGGACGGGUGAGUAAUGUAUGGGGACUGCCCGAUAGAGGGGGGUAACUACUGGAAACGGUUGCUAAUACCGCCUACUGUCGGAUAACCCAUAUGGGAUUAGGUAGUGUGUAAGGUAAUGGCUUACCUAGGCGACGAUCCCUAGCUGGUCUGAGAGGAUGAUCAGCCACAAUGCGACUGUGACACGGCCCAGACUCAUACGGAGGCAGAAGUGGGGAAUAUUGCACAAUGGGCGCAAGCCUGAUGCAUCCAUGCCGCGUGUAUGAAGAAGGCCUUAGGGUUGUAAAGUCCUUUCAGUCGGGAGGCGUUACCUACAGAAGAAGCACCGGCUAACUCCGUGCCAGCAGCCGCGGUAAUUC
RNAcentral lists this ribosomal RNA (403 nucleotides) under uncultured bacterium. RNAcentral's name for it is "partial 16S ribosomal RNA". It matches the Rfam family "Bacterial small subunit ribosomal RNA", at positions 30 to 526 of the family's 1533-position model. The record is from RNAcentral.